AAACCAGAGGCUUGGAGGCAAGCAAAAGAGAAAGAGGGGAAAGAGGGAAAGAAAGAGAGGAGAGAGGGAGCGAGGGUGAUGGGAUACAGAGAAAACAGUGGCAACGAGUGUGAUAAAAUCAGUGAAAGGAAAAACGAAAAAUAUUAAAAGAGCUUUAAGACAUCACUGAGAGUGAGGAUGCUAUAAAAUGAAACCGUGCGGAGAAAGGGUAUGCUUUUCCAGCAUGUUCCCCAUCUUGGAAAUAAAAUAAUGAUAUAGUGUAUGGAUCAGUGAAGAGAGACUUUCCAAAUAUCGAGGAUUGGCACCACGUUUCAAAAUAAUCAUUUCAUUACCCUUACCAGUGAUUCUCUUCUGCUCCUGAUUUGGUGCUGUAUCAUCUGUUCAUCUGAAAAUUCAUCGCUUUCGACUAUUGGAGGAAACGCUCUUUUGCCGACAGUGCGUCUACCCUGCCGGAGCCUUAUGCUCUUUCUGCUUCACCAAAAGACACAGUUACGUGUAGAUGUUUGGGUGGAACAAAAAUGGAAGAAUUCUUUCUUAUUCGAAAGGGUUGAAAGGCUGGCAUUUGAACUUUACAAUCGUGGAGAGGGAGUCGGUUGCUAUCUUUGGUUAUCUAGCUGUAUGAGUGUUAUUCAGCCGUCAUAAAGCUAGAUAACCGAAAGUAGAAAUGACUUCCAGACCUGCGUUCUUAGCUACAACUGGGAGAAACAACAAUGAGGAAAAAAAACAAACAAACAAAAAAAAAAACGUAAUAAAUAAAACGAAGGAGGACACACCAAACAUCAGGAAAUUCGCUGUAAGAAUGUAAACGUACGUCUUCAUUAUAAAGGAAUUACAUCUGUCUCCCAGUCUGAGCUGACCAUUAAGGAACUGCUAAGAUCUGCUUUCAAGAUGGAAUAAAACAAUAAAAACAACAAUUCUGUCAAAAAAGAACUACCACUCCAUUUUAUUCCAAGAAUUCCUAGAUGUUUGUUGGACUACAGGAUGGAAAAGAUUUGAAGUUACCUGCUAAUUAUGGAUUUAUGGAUUUUCUGUUAAAUACUCCUGGAUGGACUAUUAAAAUUCACAGCAGCACAUACAAUAACCCUUAAAUUCUCCCAGGACAGCAAAUGAAAUAAUGCAAAAAGAGGAAGGGAGUUUUCCAUUGAAAAGAAAGGGUUCAAAGUAUCAAGAAAUUGCUUUGUCAACAGUCUUAAAAUAAUUAAAUUCUCUUAAUGUAUUCCUUCAAUUAAAAAUUGAACUGUGUAUCUGUUUAUAAAUAAAUACUUUUUACUUUGUCAUUUUUCUGUUGUGUAUUUAAGAUAUCAUUUUAUUUUUCUGAUUAAACUAUGUAUGCCACUUUUGCCAAAUGUAUGUAUAUAUUUUCUUCUGUUGUUAAAGUCUAAAUUUGAGUAAAUAAAAAUGAAAUCCAAUGUA
Molecule: long non-coding RNA, 1413 nt
Organism: Polypterus senegalus (gray bichir)
Lineage: Eukaryota; Metazoa; Chordata; Cladistia; Polypteriformes; Polypteridae
Exons: 4
Source: RefSeq, a predicted model, not a curated record